This 497-nucleotide ribosomal RNA is filed under the name uncultured bacterium. Its description in RNAcentral is "partial 16S ribosomal RNA". It matches the Rfam family "Bacterial small subunit ribosomal RNA", at positions 28 to 507 of the family's 1533-position model. The record is from RNAcentral.
GAUGAACGCUGGCGGCGUGCCUAAUACAUGCCAGUCGAGCGAACAGACGAGGAGCUUGCUCCUCUGACGUUAGCGGCGGACGGGUGAGUAACACGUGGAUAACCUACCUAUAAGACUGGGAUAACUUCGGGAAACCGGAGCUAAUACCGGAUAAUAUAUUGAACCGCAUGGUUCAAUAGUGAAAGACGGCUUUGCUGUCACUUAUAGAUGGAUCCGCGCCGCAUUAGCUAGUUGGUAAGGUAACGGCUUACCAAGGCAACGAUGCGUAGCCGACCUGAGAGGAUGAUCGGCCACACUGGAACUGAGACACGGUCCAGACUCCUACGGGAGGCAGCAGUAGGGAAUCUUCCGCAAUGGGCGAAAGCCUGACGGAGCAACGCCGCGUGAGUGAUGAAGGUCUUCGGAUCGUAAAACUCUGUUAUUAGGGAAGAACAAAUGUGUAAGUAACUAUGCACGUCUUGACGGUACCUAAUCAGAAAGCCACGGCUAACUACGUG